GAGCGAUGGAGACAGGCAGAGACACACAGACUGGGAACGCCACUCACAUGAUGUUACGGGCAGGUGGACUUGAAGUAAAAGUCACAGUAAUGUUCCUGAACGGUACAAAAAAGAUCAGUAAGGUCAAGAUUAGCAAGUGCCUUCAUUAGAUUGUGAUGUCGCUUUUUCUUCAUCAUUGCAGCUGCUGUCAAAAAGUGGUACAGCAAGGACCAGAACAUAUUUCCUGUUCCAUGGCAGAACACCUUUUAACAAGCCCCUGGACAGCUUGGCAGUGGGGGCUACAUAUCCAACCCAAAACAGUUAGG
This is a long non-coding RNA of Pygocentrus nattereri (red-bellied piranha), 305 nucleotides long. RefSeq lists it as uncharacterized. The record is from RefSeq and is a predicted model, not a curated record. Lineage: Eukaryota; Metazoa; Chordata; Actinopteri; Characiformes; Serrasalmidae. The transcript has 3 exons.